Molecule: long non-coding RNA, 2073 nt
Organism: Bos taurus (domestic cattle)
Lineage: Eukaryota; Metazoa; Chordata; Mammalia; Artiodactyla; Bovidae
Source: Ensembl
GAUUUAACAGAGUAUAUUUAUGAGAAUAACAGUACUGACAUGCAAAACAUGUUCUAUUCUUUCUGAGGAAAUAUAGAACAUUAUUUCAGUAGGUACAUCAUGAAAUAUACAAGCAGCAUUACUGAUAGCCUAGCAAACUGAGCCACCAGGGAAGCCCUCUAGCAAAAUUAUUAAAAUGGAAAAUAACUCUGGCUUUAGUCAUUUUUCUUAGAAAAUAGAUGCUUCACUUUUUUUUUUAAUGAGAUAUCUUGACAAGGGGGGAAAAGCCCAUUUUACUGCCAAAAUGAAUCGUGUCACUCAGUCACAUAACACCUUUCCUGCUGCUGCUGCUGCUGCUGCUGCUAAGUCGCUUCAGUCGUGUCCGACUCUGUGCGACCCCAUACACGGCCUCCCACCAGGCUCCCCCGUCCCUGGGAUUCUCCAGGCGAGAACACUGGAGUGGGUUGCCAUUUCCUUCUCCAAUGCAUGAAAGUGAAAAGUGAAAAUGAAGUCGCUCAGUCGUGUCCGACUCUUAGCGACGUCAUGGACUGCAGCCCACCAGGCUCCUCCAUCCAUGGGAUUGUCCAGGCAAGAGUACUGGGGUGGGGUGCCACCGCCUUCUCCGACACCUCUCCUACGUACACACAAACACAAUCUUCAGACACCUUUCUUUGAUUUCAAAAUGGAGGGGGGCGGGGCAGGCAGUUCUUCAGUUGUCUUUAGAGCUUCAAUUAAGGCAUCACGAUAUAGUGCAGUAAUUCUCGAAAAUUCAGCAGACGUUAGGACUAAUGGAAGAUUUGUUCCAAUGUAGAGAGCUGAACUUCAUCCCUAGAAUUUCUGCUGCUGUAAGUCUGAGUGGGGCUUGACUUUGAACAGUCUGCAGGCAAUACUAAUACUGCGGGUCAAACGCCCCGCCCCCGCCCCAAGCUUCACGGGCUUUGUUGAUAUCAGGUGCACCUGGCGUUGUUGAAAAAGAGCAGGCGCAAGACUCUGUUGCCCAUUUAAGAUGAUUAACACCCUGCGAACCUCACGCGAGACCUGAGUUCCUAGGUUGAAACCCCAAGCUCUUUCCCACUUGCUUGUGAGCAGACUAUCCAUCUCGGGAGUUACUGGAUGAAGGAUGUGCAGGUAGCCCUUUUAUUCAUCUUUGCCUUGAAAGUCUGGAGUAUUGAAAGAUCCUGGUCUUUGAAGCCUUCCUCCAGCACUUACCUGCUGUGUUAACUUGAAGCAAUUCCUUAACUUCUCUGAACUUCAGUUCUCAUUACGGAUGUAACAGUUUCUGCCUCACACGAAAAAAACAAGCAGUUAUGUGUACAAGGCACUGUGAUGUCUCAGAUGAUUUGUAAGAACUGGCUGAAGAAGCUGGUGUCCAAGGCUGUGGACACAGUCUGUCUUCAGAUGCUGAAGGAGUAAGAGCCAAGUAUUGCUGGCAGCCUCAAGAAGCUAGAAAAGGCAAGACCAUGGAUUCCCCCCAGAGUUUCCAGAAAGGAAAACAGCCCUGCUGACUCUUUGAUUUUAGCCCUGUGAGAACUGUGUCAGCUUUCCAACCUUCAUAAUUGUAAUAUAAUAAAUGUAUGCUGUUUAAUAAAUGUAAGAUAAUAAAUGUGUGCUGUUUUAAAGCCACUGGAUUUGUUGUAUUUGUUAUACCAGCUCUAGAAAACUCAUGAACUGACAGAAAACUAAUAUAAGAUGUAAAGAUCCUAAUGAAGGGCCAGGUGCACAAAGAAUUAUCAGUAAAACAAAUACAUGUUAGUCAUACAGAGUAGACAGGGAAAAGAAAGACUGAAUACUCUAAAAUUUUCAUAUGUAGCAAUUUUGUCCAGGGUUGACCCUGUGUAUGUCAUCAACAGCCUGUUCUGAAAAUCACAAUGAGAUUCACAAAGUUGGUUUUAGAACCUAAAGGGAUUCUUUCUCUUCUUUGUUUGAACCAGGGUUGUCAUGUCUAAGUAUAUCCCCAAUAGUCAUUCUGUCUGAAAGCACUUAAAAUACUGUGUUAUUCCAAAAUAUGUGUAUGUACAUUUAUAUAUUAUAUAUAUAUAUUUAUGUACACUAAUAUAAAUGUCUGGAGCUGAUGUGGCUCAGAUGGUAAAACAU